RNAcentral lists this ribosomal RNA (851 nucleotides) under Xanthoparmelia aff. mexicana. RNAcentral describes it as "eukaryotic LSU rRNA". It matches the Rfam family "Eukaryotic large subunit ribosomal RNA", at positions 71 to 937 of the family's 3401-position model. Lineage: Eukaryota; Fungi; Ascomycota; Lecanoromycetes; Lecanorales; Parmeliaceae. The record is from RNAcentral.
GGGAUUGCCUCAGUAACCGCGAGUGAAGCGGCAACAGCUCAAAUUUGAAAUCUGGCUCCUUCGGGGUCCGAAUUGUAAUUUGUAGAGAGUGCUUCGGGCGAGACCUCGGUCUAAGUCCAUUGGAACAUGGUGUCAUAGAGGGUGAGAAUCCCGUAUGCGACCGUGGCUCGAGCCCAUGUGAAGCCUCUUCGACGAGUCGAGUUGUUUGGGAAUGCAGCUCAAAACGGGUGGUAAAUUUCAUCUAAAGCUAAAUACUGGCUGGAGACCGAUAGCGCACAAGUAGAGUGAUCGAAAGAUGAAAAGCACUUUGGAAAGAGAGUCAAACAGUACGUGAAAUUGUUGAAAGGGAAGCGCUUGCAACCAGACCUGCCCGUAGGCGAUCAGCCGCUGUUCUCAGCGGUGCACUCGCUCUGCGAUCAGGCCAGCAUCGGUUUCGGCGGUCGGAUAAAGGCCUUGGGAAUGUAGCUUCCCUUCGGGGGAGUCUUAUAGCCCUCGGUGUAAUGCGGCCAGCCGGGACCGAGGACCGCGCUUCGGCUAGGAUGCUGGCGUAAUGGUUGUAAGCGACCCGUCUUGAAACACGGACCAAGGAGUCUAACAUCUAUGCGAGUGUUUGGGUGUCAAACCCAUACGCGGAAUGAAAGUGAACGGAGGUGAGAACCCUUAAGGGCGCAUCAUCGACCGAUCCAGAUGUCUUCGGAUGGAUUUGAGUAUGAGCAUAGCUGUUGGGACCCGAAAGAUGGUGAACUAUGCCUGAAUAGGGUGAAGCCAGAGGAAACUCUGGUGGAGGCUCGCAGCGGUUCUGACGUGCAAAUCGAUCGUCAAAUUUGGGUAUAGGGGCGAAAGACUAAUCG